Molecule: ribosomal RNA, 253 nt
Filed under: uncultured bacterium
Lineage: Bacteria
Description: partial 16S ribosomal RNA
Rfam family: Bacterial small subunit ribosomal RNA
Source: RNAcentral
UACGGAGGGUGCAAGCGUUGUCCGGAAUCACUGGGCGUAAAGGGCGCGUAGGCGGCUCAUGAAGGCUGUGGUGAAAGUCCGGGGCUCAACCUCGGAUCGGCCGUGGCGACUCGUGGGCUGGAGCACUGUAGAGGCGGGUGGAAUUCCGGGUGUAGCGGUGGAAUGCGUAGAUAUCAGGAGGAACACCGAUGGCGAAGGCAGGUCUCUGGGCUGACACUGACGCUCAUGCACGAAAGCGUGGGGAGCAAACAGG